AGUUCAGAUUGCAGGCUGNAACCCGCCUGCAUGAAGUCGGAAUUGCUAGUAAUCGCGGAUCAGCAUGCCGCGGUGAAUACGUUCCCGGGCCUUGUACACACCGCCCGUCACACCAUGAGAGUCGGUAACACCCGAAGCCUGUGAGCUAACCGUAAGGAGGCAGCAGUCGAAGGUGGGAUCGAUAAUUGGGGUGAAGUCGUAACAAGGUAAC
This 211-nucleotide ribosomal RNA is filed under the name uncultured bacterium. RNAcentral describes it as "partial 16S ribosomal RNA". It matches the Rfam family "Bacterial small subunit ribosomal RNA", at positions 1290 to 1500 of the family's 1533-position model. The record is from RNAcentral.